This 73-nucleotide transfer RNA is filed under the name Paramuricea clavata. It matches the Rfam family "tRNA". From Rfam's summary of the family: Transfer RNA (tRNA) molecules are approximately 80 nucleotides in length. Lineage: Eukaryota; Metazoa; Cnidaria; Anthozoa; Malacalcyonacea; Plexauridae. The record is from Rfam by way of RNAcentral.
CUCUCUGUAGCUCAGUUAUUUGGAGCGCUGCACCGGAAUCGCAGGGUCGCAGGUUCGAUUCCUGACAGGGACC